GAUGAACGCUGGCGGCGUGCCUAAUACAUGCAAGUCGAGCGAACGGACGAGAAGCUUGCUUCUCUGAUGUUAGCGGCGGACGGGUGAGUAACACGUGGAUAACCUACCUAUAAGACUGGGAUAACUUCGGGAAACCGGGGCUAAUACCGGAUAAUAUUUUGAACCGCAGGGUUCAAAAGUGAAAGACGGUCUUUCUGUCACGUAUAGAUGGAUCCGCGCGGCAUUAGCUAGUUGGUAAGGUAACGGCUUACAAAGGCAACGAUGCAUAGCCGACCUGCGAGGGUGAUCGGCCACACUGGAACUGAGACACGGUCCAGACUCCUACGGGAGGCAGCAGUAGGGAAUCUUCCGCAAUGGGCGAAAGCCUGACGGAGCAACGCCGCGUGAGUGAUGAAGGUCUUCGGAUCGUAAAACUCUGUUAUUAGGGAAGAACAUAUGUGUAAGUAACUGUGCACAUCUUGACGGUACCUAAUCAGAAAGCCACGGCUAACUACGUG
This 497-nucleotide ribosomal RNA is filed under the name uncultured bacterium. RNAcentral describes it as "partial 16S ribosomal RNA". It matches the Rfam family "Bacterial small subunit ribosomal RNA", at positions 28 to 507 of the family's 1533-position model. The record is from RNAcentral.